GAAAAGGCAGUGAAGGGAAGAGUAGGCAGGCAAGUCCUUUAUAAGAGAGCCGGAUAAGGUGAAAGCCGGCAAGGAACUAUAUGCUGAAUAUGGCCCCGGAGCCCUCCGCCCGAGAUGAUUCAGGGCGGAACGCAUAAGGCACGUUAUAGCCUGAUUGAGGCUUUUGGGCAAUGCCCAAACAGCAAAUAGGGUGGUACCGCGGAGAAUAUUCGCCCCUGGA
RNAcentral lists this non-coding RNA (220 nucleotides) under Peptoclostridium acidaminophilum. RNAcentral's name for it is "T-box sequence". It matches the Rfam family "T-box leader". From Rfam's summary of the family: Uncharged tRNA acts as the effector for transcription antitermination of genes in the T-box leader family. T-boxes are found upstream of many aminoacyl-tRNA synthetase genes and some amino acid biosynthetic genes usually in Gram-positive bacteria. The record is from RNAcentral. Lineage: Bacteria; Bacillati; Bacillota; Clostridia; Peptostreptococcales; Peptoclostridiaceae.